CAGCCGCCGCGGGAAUACGUAGGGUGCGAGCGUUGUCCGGAAUUACUGGGCGUAAAGAGCUCGUAGGCGGUUUGUCGCGUCGUCUGUGAAAUUCUGCAGCUUAACUGUAGGCGUGCAGGCGAUACGGGCAGACUUGAGUACUACAGGGGAGACUGGAAUUCCUGGUGUAGCGGUGAAAUGCGCAGAUAUCAGGAGGAACACCGGUGGCGAAGGCGGGUCUCUGGGUAGUAACUGACGCUGAGGAGCGAAAGCGUGGGUAGCGAACAGGAUUAGAUACCCCGGUAGUCCCUGUCUCUUAUAU
Molecule: ribosomal RNA, 301 nt
Filed under: uncultured bacterium
Lineage: Bacteria
Description: partial 16S ribosomal RNA
Rfam family: Bacterial small subunit ribosomal RNA
Source: RNAcentral